CCCACGCGCUCUAUCUUUAUUGAUCGGUUGCGAUGUAAACACGGCCUGGAAAAUCGCGAAAAGUGAACGAAAAUGUGCCAAAGUGGCCUACUUUUGCUUUUGUUGCUAAAGGGGAGUUUUGUCGCCACACUGGAAGACAAUUCGUUCGAGGAUGAUGAUGGCAUUUCAGCAACAGAUGAACUACCACCAGAAAUAAUGGAAGAACUAGAAUUUGGCAACUCAGACGACGAAAUUAGUAGGGUAGAUGAUGACGAUGGACACAUAGAAACCAUCCACCAGAAGAUGUACGUGACCAAAGAUACGGUUGAAAUCGCACAGACGGUCAUACACAUAAAAGACGAUAAACUUUGUUGUGAGAGAGACGAAAAAACUAAGCCGGACCCGCAGUGCGACAAGGACAAAUUUCCCGAUAACAUGACCCGAACCGGCCCGGAACCACCACAGGACAAAGCAGGACUUGCGCAGCACGGCGUAACAGAGGCUGAGGUUGUAGUAGCACGCUUUCGGAGACGUUUCUCUCCGGCGAAACCAGGGACCAGUGUAUUCGAUUCGUGGCCUCUGAAUAUCUGGCAGUGUUUGGGGAUACUUCUGUUCGUUUCGUACUGUAUUAACAGUGCGGAGUACGGGGCUUUGAGGUCGCACUAGUACCGAUUUGGUUUGGGUUUUUAAAUGUCUCUCGCAUUGUUCUCAUCGUGGUCUAGAUUAGAUGGAUGUUGUGUUAGUCAUGCUAUGGAGCGUCUGACUGAAGUUGUUGACGAGGUAUAUAACAAAGGAGCAUUUAUUCAAAAGAAAAAGAGGUGUUUUUGAAAUCAUGUUUUACUGUUGGUUUAACUACUGUCUCUGGAUUCUUUGUGUUGUGACUGUGUUGAUGUAUGGUGACAUCUUCGCAGAAUAAAGAGUGUUUUUGAA
This is an RNA transcript of Zophobas morio, 909 nucleotides long. RefSeq lists it as uncharacterized. The record is from RefSeq and is a predicted model, not a curated record. Lineage: Eukaryota; Metazoa; Arthropoda; Insecta; Coleoptera; Tenebrionidae. The transcript is spliced from 7 exons.